This is a long non-coding RNA of Ctenocephalides felis (cat flea), 319 nucleotides long. RefSeq lists it as uncharacterized. The record is from RefSeq and is a predicted model, not a curated record. Lineage: Eukaryota; Metazoa; Arthropoda; Insecta; Siphonaptera; Pulicidae. The transcript has 2 exons.
UGUUAUUAAAUAAAUUUAAUUAAAAAUUAAUUUAAUUAAUAAUACGAUAAACAAUUAAUACAAAUAAUAUAUAGGUUUAUUGGAAAUCGAACUAGUUCAAGUUAAAAAAUAAAAGUGAUCGUGGAAGUGUUUUGGACAGUUUUUUUUUGAACAGUUGUUAUUGUUUGAAAAGUGAAAAUGAAACCAAUCGGGAUUUAUGAAUUUGUGGUGUUCCUAUGCCUGACAAUUUCCCAAAUAUCAGCCAUCUACGUACCAUUUGGAACCAAAACGAAUUUCGCUCCAAAUAGUUUAUCUUCCAACGAUGACUAUUUGUCACAAG